Molecule: transfer RNA, 68 nt
Filed under: bovine gut metagenome
Rfam family: tRNA
About the family: Transfer RNA (tRNA) molecules are approximately 80 nucleotides in length.
Source: RNAcentral
CGGUGUAGCUCAGUUGGUAGAGCAGCUGAUUUGUAAUCAGCAGGUCAGGGGUUCGAGUCCGUUCACCG